RNAcentral lists this transfer RNA (73 nucleotides) under Treponema sp. RNAcentral describes it as "tRNA-Pro". It matches the Rfam family "tRNA". From Rfam's summary of the family: Transfer RNA (tRNA) molecules are approximately 80 nucleotides in length. Their secondary structure includes four short double-helical elements and three loops (D, anti-codon, and T loops). RNAcentral also lists the same sequence under 1 other name. The record is from RNAcentral. Lineage: Bacteria; Pseudomonadati; Spirochaetota; Spirochaetia; Treponematales; Treponemataceae.
CGGGCAAUAGCGCAGCUGGUAGCGCGCUACGUUCGGGACGUAGAGGUCGGCGGUUCAAAUCCGCCUUGCCCGA